AACUUUUAUUUUGUUAUAGAAGAAAAGGUCCCAGGACGUGGAUGUUCCUGUGAAGCAACAGCUAGACAUUCAAGUGUUGUAGUUUUGCUGCAUAUUGUUAAAGCAGCAAAAGACAACCAAUUGUUUGUAAGGAAUUCUUUCUUGGAUUAAAAAUGUCACCAAGACAAGUUUUUAUUCUGAUUAUACUUGGAAUAUGUUGCAACAUUUCCCAGGAGUUUGCUUUAAAGCGUAAACCAGUUGAAACAGUCACCACACCUGCGCCUCAACCCUUUGAUAUUUAUGACCAGUUGUGCAGUUACUACAGGCAGCGAUGUGACUGUGCAAGGAUUCGACAGUUUUGUGUCGACCCAUCUUGCUGCAACCAAUCACCAUUCGCUGUUAUAAGAAUGAUUGGACAGAUGAUGGCUAUCGAGGAUGAUGACGACUAAAUUACUAUUUAGGUCAUAAUGUUCUCCAGAAAACCUGUUUUUUGUAGUGAUAUACUUCCGUUAAUCUCCUGAAUUAUGUAGUGGACAUACAUUAUUUAGUCGCCUGUCUUAUGAAGUCGACAUAUACAAUCCACUGAGUAUACAUAUAUUAAUGAUUUAGCAAGUGUUUUAGUUGUAUAUAAAAUAUAUAUGUUUGGAAAUUAG
This is a long non-coding RNA of Mytilus trossulus (common blue mussel), 632 nucleotides long. RefSeq lists it as uncharacterized. The transcript has 3 exons. Lineage: Eukaryota; Metazoa; Mollusca; Bivalvia; Mytilida; Mytilidae. The record is from RefSeq and is a predicted model, not a curated record.